Molecule: ribosomal RNA, 423 nt
Filed under: uncultured bacterium
Lineage: Bacteria
Description: bacterial SSU rRNA
Rfam family: Bacterial small subunit ribosomal RNA
Source: RNAcentral
UGAGGAAUACUGGUCAAUGGGCGACAGCCUGAACCAGCCAUCCCGCGUGAAGGAAGAAAGCGCUAUGCGUUGUAAACUUCUUUUCCAGAGGGAUAAAAUGAUGUACGCGUACAUUACUGAAGGUACUCUGGGAAUAAGCAUCGGCUAACUCCGUGCCAGCAGCCGCGGUAAUACGGAGGAUGCGAGCGUUAUCCGGAUUUAUUGGGUUUAAAGGGUGCGUAGGCGGGACAAUAAGUCAGUGGUGAAAACCUGCAGCUUAACUGUAGACUUGCCGUUGAUACUGUUGUUCUUGAGUAUGGUCAAGGCAGGCGGAAUGUGUAAUGUAGCGGUGAAAUGCUUAGAUAUUACACAGAACACCGAUAGCGAAGGCAGCUUGCUGGGCCGUUACUGACGCUGAUGCACGAAAGCGUGGGGAUCGAACAG